GGUUGGUCCAAUGGUAGUGGGUUAUCAAGCUUAUUAACAUUAGUGUCACUGAAGUUGGUAUACAACCCCCCACUAAUAAAUUUGACUAGCUUUGA
This is a Y RNA of 95 nucleotides. It matches the Rfam family "Y RNA". From Rfam's summary of the family: Y RNAs are components of the Ro ribonucleoprotein particle (Ro RNP), in association with Ro60 and La proteins. The Y RNAs and Ro60 and La proteins are well conserved, but the function of the Ro RNP is not known. The record is from Ensembl.